Molecule: long non-coding RNA, 461 nt
Organism: Glycine soja
Lineage: Eukaryota; Viridiplantae; Streptophyta; Magnoliopsida; Fabales; Fabaceae
Exons: 3
Source: RefSeq, a predicted model, not a curated record
AAAGCUAUGAAGCAUGUUUGGUAUGAAGCUUUUAGACUAUUACCAAGUAUUGGAGUCACUGCAAGCAGUAUUGGAGUGCUCUAUUUGAUUGUUUUUUCUCUUUUUAUAUGAAAUGGCUCGCAUUAGAUUCUCACACCAUUUUGCCUGUUUUGUCUGAGAAGCCACUUUGGUUUCUUAACUUUCUUCAGGACAAUACCAUUUUAAUUGUUGGAGCCACUGGCUUUCUCACCAAAAGUACAAUAUAGCGUUGGGUCUAAAUACCUUUGGAGUUAAGCAUGUGAUGAACUUUGCUAAACAAUGUACCAAACUCAAAGCUGUUCUUCAUGUAUCAACAGCUUAUGUAUGUGGUGAGAGAGGUGGACUAAUACUAGAGGACCCUUAUAAGUUUGGAUGAACUACGAGAGCAAGGGGCCACAGAGCGUGAAAUUAAAAUAGCUAUGAAGAACCUCGGUAUUAGCAGG